GAGUUUGAUCAUGGCUCAGGAUGAACGCUAGCGGCAGGCUUAACACAUGCAAGUCGAGGGGCAGCACGAUGUAGCAAUACAUGGGUGGCGACCGGCGCACGGGUGCGUAACACGUAUGGAAUCUGCCUUUUACUGGGAGACUAGCCCGGAGAAAUCCGGAUUAAUAUCCCAUAACAAGCGAGGUGGCAUCACUUUGCUUUGAAAGCUCCGGCGGUAAAAGAUGACCAUGCGCCCGAUUAGCUAGUUGGUGAGGUAACGGCUCACCAAGGCUACGAUCGGUAGGGGGCCUGAGAGGGUUAUCCCCCACACUGGUACUGAGACACGGACCAGACUCCUACGGGAGGCAGCAGUGAGGAAUAUUGCGCAAUGGAGGCAACUCUGACGCAGCCAUGCCGCGUGCAGGAAGAAGGCGCUACGCGUUGUAAA
This 426-nucleotide ribosomal RNA is filed under the name uncultured Flavobacterium sp. RNAcentral's name for it is "bacterial SSU rRNA". It matches the Rfam family "Bacterial small subunit ribosomal RNA", at positions 9 to 429 of the family's 1533-position model. Lineage: Bacteria; Pseudomonadati; Bacteroidota; Flavobacteriia; Flavobacteriales; Flavobacteriaceae. The record is from RNAcentral.